Molecule: long non-coding RNA, 2960 nt
Organism: Aegilops tauschii subsp. strangulata
Lineage: Eukaryota; Viridiplantae; Streptophyta; Magnoliopsida; Poales; Poaceae
Source: RefSeq, a predicted model, not a curated record
CUCCCACCCUGGCCUGUCUCCUCUCCGCCGCGCCCUCCUCCCCACGCCGUCCGAGUCCUCCGGGCGCAGUUCGCCGAAGGCGAGGCCCAGACCGCCGCGCUCCGGGCCCGCGCCGGCCGGUUCGAGCGCACGCCACCGACCGCGACCAGCUGCUCAACACACUCCUCGCCGCCGCGGGAAACGGCCGGGAGGAGGAGGCGCGGGAGGCAGGGCAGCGUCGGAUCCGGCCGAGGCGACAUGGACGCGGAGGCUCUGGCCGCGGCCGCGGCCGCCGCGCUCCCUCCGGUCACUACCUUCCCGUGAGCUUACUUCCACCCUAGCUUCUCCCCCUUUCCUCUUUGUUUUUUAACUGAUUCCCAACUGCUUGAUAAAUCCCGCUCCUCUGCUCCUGCAGGAUGGCUUUCUCUGUUCAAUUGCUUAAUUUGGUUGUCUUGUCUUAUCUGAAAUGCAAGGGAACCAACAUACAUGGCAUGAUGGAUGGAGAUCAGUAGAUGUUUUUUUGUUCUGUUCACAUGCUUUCUAAUAGUUUUCAUCGGAUUAUAGGCAUGAGCUUUGAGCAAUAGGCAUAAAUCUGUUGUAAUCAAUCAAAGGCAGUGAGAACGUUUACUGAAAUCUUUAGAAGUGGGGAUCCUAUGAAUUGCUUUGAUUGAACGUCCAACGAUGAUCUCAUCUUAUAGUAACUCUGAAACAUUGUAUUGGUAGUUUUUAUCUUUACACUUUUGCCUUCUGUACAUACUAGAUUGCAUUGUUUAGGACAUGACACAACACUGCAAACAGCUCAUGAGAGUAGUUAGCAAACGCAAAUCAUUGUAUAUGUCACUUAUGCUUCUCUUAAUAGAAAAUAGUACUAUUUUGGGGAAGGGCAUCUGGCUGACUUUCAAUAAAACUCUUCAGGUUUUGUUUGGUGAGAUUCUCUUCAGAAAAUAAGAUUUGUAUUGGUGGUAGAUCGACAGCAACUGACAGCAUCUUCGUCAUCCGCGGUGCAGUGCCGUCCGCGCGGAAUGCCUUCUGCGGCCGCGCCGCCGCCACCGACACCGCCGCCCAGCCAAUGAUGUCGGCAUGUGGUGAAAAAAGGGCCCAAGUGAAAGGUCGACCAAGCUGUAAAAAUUCGGUGAGAGGAAUUGUUGUGCUCACAGCUCACGCCAUGGCGUCCAUUGCCCCUUUUCUUACUUUAUUUUUGUUUUUCCCUUCGUUGAUUUUUCACGUCGCCUGACAAGAACAAGAAUUGCAAAGAAGAAGUGAAAAGAAAAACACAUAACAAAGGCUGAAUGCCGGAGAGCACUACUGUAUAAUUUCCCCCCAAAAUAUGAUGGGCAGUGGUGUGCUUGUUUGCAUUGAUCGCAUGGUGGCCAGCACUUCACCACACAUCUGACGGUGACUGUUUUAUCCAUGAGGUGGAGGAUAAGAGAAGUGCAUCUCUGAAAUUCGCAGUUUUGAACCUAAAGAGACACAUCUAGAAAAUGGUUGCAUGAGUUGGUUCCAGUGUCAUGUACGUCAACAUGGUUGGAGAUUUGGGAUCGGAUGCUGCGCCAAUAGCGAGGGGCCAAGGUGCUGAACUAACAGCAGGGGGAGGGUGAUUCUUCAGGUACCAACAUGGCUGUUGACUAGAGAAUUUAGUUAACCGUUUGCUUUACUUAGAGCUCCAAAUUGUAGUUAUUUUAUUUGUUCACUAAUUUGGUAUAAUCCUAAUCUAGGAGGACUAUGAUUGUAUGAUAUGAGAUCCUGACAUUUAGGCAAUGAUAAAAGUCUGACAUUGAAUGGUUCUUUUCGGAAGUACAGUUGUACGAUCUAUGAUUCUAGCUUCGACCUUUAACUGGACAGUACUAAUUGGAGAUAUAAUUGAUGCUUUAUGCACAACAAGAUAUUUUGUUUGUUUUAGUUUUUCAAUCAGAUUCAUCUAGCCCUUUGUUGACUUUCUAAUUGUUCCACCCUCUACCUCUGAAACUCAGAAAUCAGAGAAAGGUCAUUGGCAUAUCCCUAUCUCUGACGAAAAUUUGCUAGCGAGGAAGAGGACCAGAAUGUUUUUUCUAUUGUUGGGGAUAUACAUAAUACAUAUAGAUAAAUUUGGACCAUUUGUAACAGAGAUUUCUUGCCAAAAAUAUUAACUCUGUCUAGCAGUGGGCACUGUCAAGGUAAUAACAGGAAUUUGCUGAACCUAAUUGAAAGAAAGAGGGAUGGUAAUCCGAUUGAGAACAUUCUCUAACUAAAAUAGACUUAACAAUCAACAAUAUUAAAUAGUUUCAAAUUAACAAAUGUUGUUUGAUUAAAAUACUGAUUUAAGAAUUUGGCGAAUCUAUAUUUCUCUACAUAAUCACUUGGUGCAUUGUUAGAUCAUCAAGUUAUCCUAGACCACUUGGGGACAAUAUCAUCAAUUUCUUGCAUACUGCAAUAAUGCAAGUUUAAAAAGCCAGUUUCUUAUGUUUCUUGUUAUCUCUGUGUUCACCUAACUGCCAAGAAUCAUAAAAGGAUGCAUCUAAUGAGGUAGCUUUUGUUCAUGCAUUUUUUAAGUGUAGGGAUGCUGUAUAUGAUUAACAAAACAUUGUUCAACCUUCUAUGAGUCCACCUAGGGAGCUGCACAAAUUUGGAACAACUUCCAGAACAGGCAUCCAAGCAUUUUGGUCUGCUACCAGUAAGUUGCCAGAGCAAGAUAGCUGGGAGUCUGCGAUGUCAGAGUCCCUUAGGGGUUAGGGCAAUGGUAAAUCACAAAUUGCCUGAUGUUCGAUGGGAAGCAUCAAACAAUACCAAUGUCGAGUAGUAAGAUUUGAUUGUGCAGGUGAUCAAGCCAAGAUAAGUAUGCUUGCAUCCCCUUUUAGUCCAGAUUUAGAAAAAUAUGAUUUCUGCUAUGAUAGUUUCCAGAAUAGUUUGGCCCUUGAGACACUUCCAUUGUAUGCAUGUGUGUUCCUUUUCUUUCCUGAGAUAUGCAUGUUAAUUGAUUAUUAUUGCAAUUGGUUCGACAAAAA